UCGAUUCCGUCCACUGUUUCAGGCCUCGUUCGCUAAUUGUUUCGCUUAAGCCAUGUGCUCGCCUGCGUCUCAGGUACAUCCGACUCAGGCCCGCAUGUGCGUUCGUGCCAUUUUGUUUCCACACUCAGUCCCGCAUUCAGCUCGCUUCCGCAUCGCUUGUCCCAACCGCAAGCCCAUGACCGUGCCACCAAAAUGUGGCAGCUCGCAUCCAUUUAAAUCUCUGAACUCGCUCGGACCCACACACGUGAAGACGCUCGCCUGCGGUUCACUUGAAGCCCGACCUGCACUUAAACGCACCAAAAUCAAAUUUUCUUCCCAACCACUGGGUCCCGCACCAAAUAACCACC
This 347-nucleotide long non-coding RNA is filed under the name Elaeis guineensis (African oil palm). Its description in RNAcentral is "long non-coding RNA (EGUI_LNC050416)". Lineage: Eukaryota; Viridiplantae; Streptophyta; Magnoliopsida; Arecales; Arecaceae. The record is from RNAcentral.